AUCACUGAGAUCUUGUUUAAAUGCAGAUUCUGAUUUAGAACAUCUGGAGCAGGUCCUGAGAUUCUGCAUUUCUAACAAGUUCCCAAAUGAUGCUAA
This 96-nucleotide microRNA precursor is filed under the name Myotis brandtii (Brandt's bat). Its description in RNAcentral is "mir-544 microRNA precursor family". It matches the Rfam family "mir-544 microRNA precursor family". Lineage: Eukaryota; Metazoa; Chordata; Mammalia; Chiroptera; Vespertilionidae. The record is from Rfam by way of RNAcentral.